Molecule: long non-coding RNA, 3123 nt
Organism: Vigna angularis (adzuki bean)
Lineage: Eukaryota; Viridiplantae; Streptophyta; Magnoliopsida; Fabales; Fabaceae
Exons: 2
Source: RefSeq, a predicted model, not a curated record
UUAACACAUUAUUUCAUAACUUUAUACAAUUCAUAUCAUAAUCACUUUUUCAUACUUCAUACAUUCCCAUUGCCGAAUCAUACGGAUUUCAAUUGGCCAAGCCCUUCCCCGAGUGGCAAUGCCGUGGUCUUCCGGUGCUUGAAGUAGAGCUGUCAAAUUUUUUCAAAGCCCUAAGGCCAACCUGGCCUUUUCUAUACUGAGGCCCAUUUUGUUUGACCCACACCUGAGGGAGCUUUUCCAAAACCCCUAUCCCCCAACCCCAGAAAAUGGGUUGGGAUUAAAUUAGGGCCGGGUUAGCCUCCUAGCCCCCAAAACCCCAGUUUUCUCUGUUGAUCCUGGACAUCCCAUUUUCUUCUGGACAAACGUUUGCCGAAGAGCUCUACAACAAUGGCAACAGACAGCAGGGUCUACGGCGGCAGGCAUGGCGGUACAGGCGGGCGACAACACACAGUGGAGUCAACGGCAGCACUUGACGGCAACGCUCGGUGGUAUAGGCGGCGGCGAUAGCAACGAUCGAGUGGUUGAAAAGCGACGAUCGAGUGGUUGAAAAGAAGAAUCGUGAACGAGUACACUGCAAUUAAGCCUCUUAGGUGACAGAGGACUGAUAAAAGUUAAGGAAGCAUAAGACAAAACUGAAGGUGGGAUUUUGCUUCCCUCAACCACUCAAACUAAGCCUCUAGAGGUUGAGGUGGUUGCUGGUGAAGGAAAGACAGUUGGAAAGUCAAAAGUAGAUGUUAGUGUGAAGGUAAUGUUGAUGCUAUGUUGGAGUCUUUAAACCUUUACUGGUCUGUGUUUAAUUUUUUUGUGGAGUUAGGUUGGCUCUCAUUGAUGCUUUGAUGUGUUGUGAAUAGUCAUAAGGGUAAUGGAUUGCAAUUCAAAGCCAUGAUAGUAAUGUUUUAGAAUUUGUUUUUUCUAAGAAUGAUUGUGACCCAGUUUUUCUAUGAAACAAGACAAACUCUAUGACCCGGAUUUCCUUUUAAUCUGAACCAAUUAGGCUGGAAACCACUACAUAUAUUCACUGUCAACUUGUCAUUUGAUUUUAUUAUUCCUUUUCAUCUUCUGUUUCUUUUUCUACCACGUAUUUCUUUCUCUUCUUAAAAUAAUCUUAUCUUAAUUAACAUCAACUACUUUCUAAUCUCAUAGUAUUUAGUAGUUUUCGAUUCAAAGCAAGGAGCCAAGAGUGUUUCUCCUGAUCUUUCUAGUUCUCAAUUUAGAUUUUUUAGAUUAUGUUUUAGUGGAUUCUGGUAAAAAAAACAAUAAUCAAUAAUAAGCAAGAACAGUGACAAGGGUCAGUGAGAAAAAAAAAUCUAAGUUACUAGUUACCAUACGUAGUCCUAGUCUUUAACAACCACUAAGCAAAGGAACCAUGGUUUUCAGAAGCAUACAAAAACAUCCAACUGUAACAUUAUCACCCUCUCUUCCAUUCAAUCAGAUAUGCACAUGAUCAGGCCUAACAAUUUGCCUUUAAAUUCGUCCACCUCUCUUUAAAUGUUAUUGCAGUAUCUUGGUAGCAGUAACAUUUCUUUCUAACUUUUCUAUUUUCUUACAAUUUUUCUUGUUUUUGAGUGAAAUUUUCCAUCUAUAUACUUAUUUAUACGAUAAUGUUAUAACUAAUUUGAUUGCUUGAUGUCUUGUAUUUCUUUUCGCACCAUGUUAUAAGAAUAAAACAUCUGUUACUUCUUUUUUUAAUAAAAUCUUUCAUUUUAAUUAUAACUUUUAUGUAUAAAACUCCACUACUGAUAUGGUCUAAAAAUAGUUCUAUUAGGAUAAACAUAAAACGAGUUUGAUGUAUGUUAUUUGAAGUCUCUUUAUAUUUUAAGACUUAAUUAAAUUUCAAGGAUUUCAUACCACGUGUUUCUAAUUAAGUUUUUAUUAAUUGAUAAAUCUGUUAUACGAGUUUUAUAUAAGCUCACUUGCAAAGAGAGUGGCACUUGCUUAUAAUUUGUUUAUGAAUAACUUUUUCUAUUGUUAUAUCUCCUUGAACUAGUUCUUGCGAACUUGGUAAAUGUUGCUGCCAUUAAAGCUGCAAUUGAAGGUACAGAGAAAGUAACAGCUUCACAAUUGGAGUAUGCAAAAGACAAAAUAAUUAUUGGUAUUAAGCGGAAAACAAUAUUUAUAUCUGAAGAGUCAAAAAAGGUAUGGGUGUAUGGCAGUAAAUAUUGUAUUCUGCUUUAGUGCUUAGAACAUGUGCAUUGUGCUUAUGUGAUUGAUCUAGGCUUCACCAUGUAAGGGCACUGUUAAACAGUUUUAGUCCUAACAUGUUAGAUUUUUUUUUUGUUGGAUUUGGAUCUUUAUGUUUUAGAUUUUUUCUACUUUUUUCCUGUUACUUCUAUUAUGGAACUUAACAAAUAUAUCCACAUUAAAUUGUUGAAUCAGAAAAAAAUGUUUCCAUCACAAGCGAAACAGGGAAAAUAAAAAAAUAAAUUCUCGCUUGUUUCAAGAACUGAUUAUCAAUGUUCUUCCACAAUUUAAUAGAGCUUUCAGAACAUUGUCUUGCAAUUUUUGAGAUGAAAGUGUAAGUUUUUUUUUUUUGUUUUGCUCUAGGUUGUCAAAAUCCCAUCUGUUAUAGGAAGGGAGCAGCAUGAUUGUGAUUACAUGUAAAUUUGGGUUUCAAUCUGUGAGCUUUUGACAAACACUAUAGCACUUGUGGUAUUCUACCCUUAAAAGCUAGUUGUGAAGAAAGGAUAACUGAGAACUUAAAUACUCUAUCUCACACCUCAUACUAUUCAAUGAGAGUUACGCAUCUCAUAAACAUAAUGCCGAUCACAGCACCUUAUCAUAAAAAGAACCUGUUAACUGAUGUCAUUGUUCUUGUGCAAGCUGAAUAAUGGGUUUGUUUGUAGGAACGACCAAUAAUGAGAUGAUUUUUUAGCAUUGUUGGUUGGUUUAUGGCAGUUUUGUGAAGGUAUUUUAAGUUUCCAUCAAGUCAGAAUUAAGAGGAAAGUUGAAGAACAGUUUGAGUCAGGACCAGUUGCUGCCAAGCAGUUUCAAUUUUUCUAUUCUCUUUGUAUCAAAACAAUUGUUCAGUUUCUUUUCUUUUCUUAUUUGCUGUUUCAGUUCUGAUCCCCUUUCACAUGGAGGACAAUGUGCAAUUCUGAUAUAGCAUGUUCAAAUUUUUUUUGC